This is a long non-coding RNA of Pantherophis guttatus, 335 nucleotides long. RefSeq lists it as uncharacterized. The record is from RefSeq and is a predicted model, not a curated record. NCBI's taxonomy places the organism in Eukaryota, Metazoa, Chordata, Lepidosauria, Squamata, Colubridae.
CUCUUGACCCCUUGCUCUAACCAUGGUCCUAGAAUCAAUUUCAUCUUCUUCCUACAUUGAGAGAGAAGAAAAACUUCUAAUGUGGCUUAUGGGGCUGAGCCUUGGCUUUCUAGAGUUUCAUGGAAUCUGCCAAUAUCUCAUCUCUCCUAAUACACAACACACAAGAAGCCUUAGAAGGGUCAAAUGAUCACCUGCUAUCCACAAAGGAAUGAUCCUGUUAUUCCUCUUCAUAGGAUAGGAAGGAAAGAGGUUAUGUUACGUACUACUCAGAACUGGUUGGAACAGAUUGCAACACAAAUGCUAGCAAUAAAUAAAUAUUAAACAAUAGAGUGAAA